Molecule: ribosomal RNA, 496 nt
Filed under: uncultured bacterium
Lineage: Bacteria
Description: partial 16S ribosomal RNA
Rfam family: Bacterial small subunit ribosomal RNA
Source: RNAcentral
AUGAACGCUGGCGGCGUGCCUAAUCCAUGCAAGUCGAGCGAACGGACGAGAAGCUUGCUUCUCUGAUGUUAGCGGCGGACGGGUGAGUAACACGUGGAUAACCUACCUAUAAGACUGGGAUAACUUCGGGAAACCGGAGCUAAUACCGGAUGAUAUUUUGAACCGCAUGGUUCAAAAGUGAAAGACGGUCUUGCUGUCACUUAUAGAUGGAUCCGCGCUGCAUUAGCUAGUUGGUAAGGUAACGGCUUACCAAGGCAACGAUGCAUAGCCGACCUGAGAGGGUGAUCGGCCACACUGGAACUGAGACACGGUCCAGACUCCUACGGGAGGCAGCAGUAGGGAAUCUUCCGCAAUGGGCGAAAGCCUGACGGAGCAACGCCGCGUGAGUGAUGAAGGUCUUCGGAUCGUAAAACUCUGUUAUUAGGGAAGAACAUAUGUGUAAGUAACUGUGCAUAUCUUGACGGUACCUAAUCAGAAAGCCACGGCUAACUACGUG